Molecule: ribosomal RNA, 429 nt
Filed under: bacterium
Lineage: Bacteria
Description: partial 16S ribosomal RNA
Rfam family: Bacterial small subunit ribosomal RNA
Source: RNAcentral
UAGGGAAUCUUCCACAAUGGACGCAAGUCUGAUGGAGCAACGCCGCGUGAGUGAAGAAGGUUUUCGGAUCGUAAAGCUCUGUUGUUGGUGAAGAAGGAUAGAGGUAGUAACUGGCCUUUAUUUGACGGUAAUCAACCAGAAAGUCACGGCUAACUACUUGCCAGCAGCCGCGGUAAUACGUAGGUGGCAAGCGUUGUCCGGAUUUAUUGGGCUUAAAGCGAGCGCAGGCGGAAGAAUAAGUCUGAUGUGAAAGCCCUCGGCUUAACCGAGGAACUGCAUCGGAAACUGUUUUUCGUGAGUGCAGAAGAGGAGAGUGGAAUUCCAUGUGUAGCGGUGGAAUGCGUAGAUAUAUGGAAGAACACCAGUGGAGAAGGCGACUCUCUGGUCUGCAACUGACGCUGAGGCUCGAAAGCAUGGGUAGCGAACAGG